This 254-nucleotide ribosomal RNA is filed under the name uncultured bacterium. Its description in RNAcentral is "partial 16S ribosomal RNA". It matches the Rfam family "Bacterial small subunit ribosomal RNA", at positions 524 to 776 of the family's 1533-position model. The record is from RNAcentral.
UACGUAGGGUGCAAGCGUUGUCCGGAAUUAUUGGGCGUAAAGAGCUCGUAGGCGGUCUGUCGCGUCGGCUGUGAAAACUCGGGGCUCAACUCCGAGCUUGCAGUCGAUACGGGCAGGCUAGAGUUCGGCAGGGGAGACUGGAAUUCCUGGUGUAGCGGUGAAAUGCGCAGAUAUCAGGAGGAACACCGGUGGCGAAGGCGGAUCUCUGGGCCAUAACUGACGCUGAGGAGCGAAAAGCAUGGGGAGCGAACAGG